GCACACAGAGGGCGACUGCAGCUUGGGCGCCCAGGCGGCGGAGCAUGGUCUGGGUGGCCUCUGGAAUGCGUGCGCGCCAGACCUGAGGGCCCUCCUGCUGGUGCCACCUGACCCGGUCUUCCUCUGCUGGAGCCUGGAGCAGCUGGAAUGGCCACUCUGCAGUCACAGGGGAUAGAGUUAAGUUUUCUUAUCCCAGGCAUGCACACAAAAAGGUGAAAUGCUCAUUGCAGUGCUGCAAAAAGGUGAGGUCACAGGACACAAACCCAUAUCUGAGACCUGGAUGCCUUCCUCCACGCACUCACCCACUGGCUGUCCUGAGCAUCACCCUGCACCUAUUGUCACAGCAACAAGGGAAAAAUCAGCAUAGUGGUCAAGUCCAUUGUCAGCUUCUGACACUGCCUCUUACAAGGAGGUGACUUUGGAAAUGUCAUUCAGCCUUCCUGUGCCUGAGAUCGCCUCACCUGUCAAAUGGGAACAAUAAAGCACUUCAAAGAA
This 495-nucleotide long non-coding RNA is filed under the name Homo sapiens (human). RNAcentral's name for it is "novel transcript". Lineage: Eukaryota; Metazoa; Chordata; Mammalia; Primates; Hominidae. The record is from RNAcentral.